CAGGGCCUAGUGCACAGGGAUCUGGGCAUGGCGAGGGGAUGAGAAGCUGUGGACGCAAGCCCAGGACAUGGGGUGGCCCCGCAGGGGCUGGAAAGGCUGGCAGAUGUUGGGUGUGGGUGCUGCUCUCCUGCAGGCGUCCCGGCGGCCGGGUCAGGCUGGAUUGGAUGUCUGGUUUCCCAUCCGUGCCCCCACCCGCUACCAAGGUGGCCAACCCUCCCUUGAGCCGGAUGCCAGCCAUGUGCUUUGCUGCACGGGCUGGCAUGGCCUCGUGUUGUGUUGGGGGUCUCGCACCUUCUGUGGAAAGUGCCCUGCCUGGCAUGCGCGGUGUCUGCUGCCUCAUGGCUGAGCUUCCAUCAGGCCGUGUGCCUGUGACCAGCCUCCUGGGCUCUGUCACGGCUGCGCUGUGGCUGUGUGGGGCUGCAGGGCUGUUCAUGGCGUGACCCGAAUCCUUUCCAGGAGCUUCGAGAACAACUGGAACAUUUACAAGCUCCUCGCCCACCAGAAGCCCCCCAAGGAGAAGUCUAACUUCUCCCUGGCCAUCCUGAACGUGGGGGCCCCAGCGGCUGGCAUGAAUGCGGCUGUGCGCUCGGCGGUGCGGACUGGCAUCUCCCAUGGACACACAGUAUACGUGGUGCACGAUGGCUUUGAAGGCCUAGCCAAGGGUCAGGUGCAAGAAGUAGGCUGGCACGACGUGGCUGGCUGGUUGGGGCGUGGUGGCUCCAUGCUGGGGACCAAGAGGACCCUGCCCAAAGGCCAGCUGGAGUCCAUUGUGGAGAACAUCCGCAUCUACGGUAUCCACGCCCUGCUGGUGGUCGGCGGGUUUGAGGCCUAUGAAGGGGUGCUGCAGCUAGUGGAGGCUCGCGGGCGCUACGAGGAGCUCUGCAUCGUCAUGUGCGUCAUCCCAGCCACCAUCAGCAACAACGUCCCUGGCACCGACUUCAGCCUUGGCUCCGACACCGCUGUAAAUGCCGCCAUGGAGAGCUGUGACCGCAUCAAACAGUCUGCCUCGGGCACCAAGCGCCGUGUGUUCAUUGUGGAGACCAUGGGGGGUUACUGUGGCUACCUGGCCACCGUAACUGGCAUUGCUGUCGGGGCCGACGCCGCCUACGUCUUCGAGGACCCUUUCAACAUCCAUGACUUGAAGGUCAACGUGGAGCACAUGACGGAGAAGAUGAAGACGGACAUUCAGAGGGGCCUGGUGCUGCGGUGAGGCUGCCAUGGGUCCCCGGCCACAGCUGAGCUUCCAACCCUCGGGGCUAGGGGUGGGGCUGCUGAGGAGCUGCUGGGCAGGAGAAGGCAGGAGGGGUCCUUGGAGAGGGUGGGCCAGGGCGGCUUUCCUGGGAGCUGCCACUCCCUCUCCCAGGCCUGGCCCAGCGGGGACUCAGGAUCUGGGGGAGACCUGAACUCGUUCCCCGCUGACUCAGGCCCUGCUGUCCCUCUCAGGAACGAGAAGUGCCAUGACUACUACACCACGGAGUUCCUGUACAACCUGUACUCAUCAGAGGGCAAGGGUGUCUUCGACUGCAGGACCAACGUCCUGGGCCAUCUGCAGCAGGUGUGGGGCAGGGGUGAGGCUCUGAGAGGCCUGCCCCUCUUCCCUGCCACCAUCUGUCCCUGGGCCCAGAGGUCCCAGCCCUCACGGGCACCCACAGGCACUCCCUGCAGGCCCUCGGGCACGUGUGCCCUUCCCCAGUGAGGGGACUGAGGCCUGUAUCUAGGUGAGGUCUCAUUCCAAGAAGGGGUGGGGCUGGGGCUGGAGCCGGGGCCCAAGCCAGGGCACUCACAUGCUGAGCCGAGCUCCCCACCCCUGCCAGGCCUCCCGCGGCCACUUCCGCCGAGCCCCUCACCUAGAUCCUGGUAUGUUCCCUGCCUUACGGUGGCCCUGCAGGAAGCCUGCGUCCUGGGGUUUUCUGAGCCAGGGAGGGGAGUCAGGGUGGCUGGGCCUGGGGCCCGAGGUGAUGGGGCUGGAGGUAGGGCCGCUGGCUGCCGAUGCAGGGCCCAGGAGUCACUUGACUUGGCCAGGGGGCAGCCGACUGCCGACCUCGGGAGGCAGCUUCUGGCCUGGACUUGGAGCUGGAGAGAGCAGGCAGGGUCCUCGAUCGGGAACAGACGGGAACUGUGCACGGGUUGGAAGGAAUGGGUGUUCAGAAGCUGCCUGGGAGGCUCCCCCUGGGGACCCUGUCCGCACUGGGGUUGGGCCUCCCCUUUCCUUGGCCCAGGCAGCCCAGGGGAGUCCAGGAACCGGGCCUCACCUGUUUCCAGGGUGGCGCUCCAACCCCCUUUGACCGGAACUACGGGACCAAGCUGGGGGUGAAGGCCAUGCUGUGGUUGUCGGAGAAGCUGCGCGACGUUUACCGCAAGGGACGGGUGUUCGCCAAUGCCCCAGACUCAGCCUGUGUGAUCGGCCUGAAGAAGAAGGCGGUGGCCUUCAGCCCCGUCACUGAGCUCAAGAAAGACACUGAUUUCGAGCACCGCAUGCCGCGGGAGCAGUGGUGGCUGAGCCUGCGGCUCAUGCUGAAGAUGCUGGCACAAUACCGCAUCAGUAUGGCCGCCUACGUGUCAGGGGAGCUGGAGCACGUGACCCGCCGCACCCUGAGCAUGGACAAGGGCUUCUGAGGCCAUGCCCACGCCCCUCCCCAGCCCCCACCCAUGCCAGCCGCAGCACCAGGGCUCAGAUGGGGCCUGGGCUGUUGUGUCUGGAGCCUGCAGGCAGGUGGAGGCUGUGUCCCUGCUCAGCCCACCCCCUGCCUCUAUCCCUGGCCACCUGCCAGGCCUCUCUGGGGCUGGUGUCUUGAGACCAGCCUGCCAGGCCCUCCAGCAGGAGGACAGGGCGCCCUGGGGCAUCCACCUUCCUGCCCAGGGGACGCGGCGCUGUCGGUGUUUGGAGGCUGCCGCCCCCUGGCUUUGGCGCCCCAUGGGCCCUCAGCGUCUCCCCACGCUGGGCUCACUACAUGGGCCAGCCCUCACCCUACAUGGCCUGUAGGCUGCUGGCGCCUGGGUUGUGUUGAGAGGGGGACGCCCCUGGCCCUGCCUCACUGUGACCUGCUCCUGCCCACGUGCAGCACCCGUCACCUUUUCUAGAAAUAAAAUCACCUUGACUGUGGGGUGCAUCGGUCUCUGGAGAGCA
This 3127-nucleotide small RNA is filed under the name Pongo abelii (Sumatran orangutan). RNAcentral's name for it is "retained intron". The record is from RNAcentral. Lineage: Eukaryota; Metazoa; Chordata; Mammalia; Primates; Hominidae.